GCAGAAAAUACUGGAGUUAUUAAUGUCACCAGGAAAUCUGCAACCUGGAUUGUGGUUCAGUCAUGUCCUGUGAAUUUUGUGUACAUGUUCAUGAAGGUACUGUGUCCCUUCAUCCUCCAGGGCAGCUGCUCCUGGCCAUCUGCUCAGUGCCCUGGUCUAUGCUGUGUCUGUGCACCUAGCCAUCUUAUUGCAUCUCUACCAGCAUGAUCUGGUGACCUACUGGAGUUGUGUCUGGGGUCUUGGACUGGACUGCAGCAUUGACUAGUGAUGAUUUUCUGGCUUGCUGCCUGGACUGAAAAUUUGUUAAAAAUUUAAUGAGAAUUUAAAUGAGAAUCUUGAAAAGGAAGAUGCCCUAGAAGUUCUGGCUGCAGUUUAUGGUUUUUGAAAUCCAAGUGUCAGGAUGAGGCAGAAGAGGCUGUGAACAUACCAGGUAAAGUUCUAGUUUUCUUACUUCAUCUAGCAGGAAGGUUGGUGUGGACUAGAAAUACAUAUACUAGUGACUUCAAUGAAAAUUCUACUGUGAAUAAAGUCUUCAGGGGAUACACAGAUCGCAUCACCUGCCUUAUCCACUGUAAAUGCUUCCAGCUCAGCAAAACACUAUCGUGAAGAACCCUGUGUAUCUCCUGUUGGUCACCUUCACCAUGCACAGCUGCAGCAUAGCUCCCUCCUUGUGCGUCUUGAAGGAUCAGUCCGGCAACUUUCUAAGGAAGGCAAGAAGAAGUAUGUUUCCUUGCAGAUUAGUAUUUAUUGGGCUAGCCGACUCUAUAUAU
This is a long non-coding RNA of Pezoporus occidentalis (night parrot), 770 nucleotides long. RefSeq lists it as uncharacterized. The transcript has 3 exons. Lineage: Eukaryota; Metazoa; Chordata; Aves; Psittaciformes; Psittacidae. The record is from RefSeq and is a predicted model, not a curated record.